RNAcentral lists this unclassified non-coding RNA (318 nucleotides) under Conocybe sp. Its description in RNAcentral is "partial internal transcribed spacer region". The stretch from base 1 to 46 matches the Rfam family "Eukaryotic small subunit ribosomal RNA", at positions 1786 to 1831 of the family's 1831-position model. The record is from RNAcentral. Lineage: Eukaryota; Fungi; Basidiomycota; Agaricomycetes; Agaricales; Bolbitiaceae. RNAcentral also lists the same sequence under 1 other name.
AAGUCGUAACAAGGUUUCCGUAGGUGAACCUGCGGAAGGAUCAUUACAGAAUAAACUUGAUAAGUUGUUGCUGGCUCGUAAGAGUAUGUGCACACUUGUCAUAUUUAUCUUUCCACCAUGUGCACUAUGCAUAGGAUCUGAUUAAAAUGUGAUCAGGGGAAACCUUGGUUAUUGGAAACUGCUGUUGGCAACAACGGCUUUUUCUGUCUUCAGAUCCUGUGACUUAUAUAUACACCAAGUAUGUUAAAGAACGUUUACAUGGGCUCUUGUAGCCUAUAUACUUUAAUACAACUUUCAGCAACGGAUCUCUUGGCUCUC